RNAcentral lists this ribosomal RNA (253 nucleotides) under uncultured bacterium. RNAcentral's name for it is "partial 16S ribosomal RNA". It matches the Rfam family "Bacterial small subunit ribosomal RNA", at positions 524 to 776 of the family's 1533-position model. The record is from RNAcentral.
UACGUAGGCAGCAAGCGUUGUUCGGAGUUACUGGGCGUAAAGGGUGCGUAGGCGGCUUCUUAAGUCUGGUGUGAAAUCUCCCGGCUCAACUGGGAGGGUGCGCCGGAUACUGAGGGGCUAGAGUGUGGGAGAGGUGAGUGGAAUUCCCAGUGUAGAGGUGAAAUUCGUAGAUAUUGGGAAGAACACCGGUGGCGAAGGCGGCUCACUGGCCCGUAACUGACGCUCAUGCGCGAAAGCGUGGGGAUCAAACAGG